RNAcentral lists this long non-coding RNA (1024 nucleotides) under Sus scrofa (pig). Its description in RNAcentral is "lncRNA (ENSSSCG00025009643.1)". Lineage: Eukaryota; Metazoa; Chordata; Mammalia; Artiodactyla; Suidae. The record is from RNAcentral.
UGAGGGUGAAUUUGAAGUUAGGGGCUUUAAGGAGGCAACGGGAAGGCUUUAAGGUCCUAAAUUUCCUACAUUCACAAUCUGAACACAGAUAAAACUGAUUCUUGCUUCCUUGCUAAGUGGGUAUUUAAAUACUCCCCUAUUUCUUACUGACUCCCUUUCCUUUCUACAAAUAAAGAAAGAGUUUUGGGUAGUAGUUCCAUGUCUAUGCUUUACAUAUACCUUGGGAAUGGUCUAAAAUAGAACUUUUUUCAGUUCCAGAAACGAGAAUGUGUAUUUUUCACUUCUUGGGGGAGGGGGAGAGCAGGAAAAUUAAAACUAUGGAAACCUCUUACUAACCUGUUCAUCUCAUUCCAGUUCUUGCACCAGAUACGUAUUCAAAGCCCCCCAAAUAGGUAUUUGCCUGUUGCAGUGAUCCCCAUAAAUUCGUAAAGCCUUCUGGCUUUCCUGAGUCUACAGCACCCCCAGCCUGCACAGGCUCCUUCUGUAAGUGAAGAAUGAUAAUCAACGUUCUACAAAUCACUAGCACGAGAUCCCAGAAGGAACACAGCCCAGUGGAAGACGAUAACGGUGAGGCCCAGUGUGCGUGUGAGCAAGUCUGUAGUCUAUCACGAUUGGCAAGGGGAAAAUUUUCAUGUUUGUGUAGCUUUUUUUUUCUUUCUCUCCUCAGGCUGUAUUCCAUCCCUAAUGAUGUCCGAGAGCAGACGCUUUUCUUCCGCCACCGCAUUUUGAGAAAAAGAUGAUUUCCAUGUAUGUCUGUGUUUUAGACGUGCUGCCAGGGGCAUCUAAAAUCCGCAUAAGGAGAAGGACUAUCCUGAAUUGCAUUCAUCGCUAACACAAGCCUAACGGUUGUGGUACAGAGCACACUCUUCACAUAAAACCUUUAUAAUAUGCUACUGAAAUCUACUUACCUAAUUUGAAUAGAUGCGUUGAGGACCCAGCUUGACUUAACUUAGAAAGUGUAACAUUACCAUUUUUAUCAUCUAUAUGAAAUAAACAUGGAAGUGUUCUUUUAAAUAUUUGGAGA